GUGGCUGUAGCUCAGUGGUAGAGCACCAGGUUGUGGCCCUGGGGGCCGUGGGUUCAAUCCCCAUCAGCCACC
This 72-nucleotide transfer RNA is filed under the name Chloroflexota bacterium. RNAcentral describes it as "Chloroflexi bacterium tRNA-His". It matches the Rfam family "tRNA". Rfam says of the family: Transfer RNA (tRNA) molecules are approximately 80 nucleotides in length. Their secondary structure includes four short double-helical elements and three loops (D, anti-codon, and T loops). Further hydrogen bonds mediate the characteristic L-shaped molecular structure. tRNAs have two regions of fundamental functional importance: the anti-codon, which is responsible for specific mRNA codon recognition, and the 3' end, to which the tRNAs corresponding amino acid is attached (by aminoacyl-tRNA synthetases). tRNAs cope with the degeneracy of the genetic code in two manners: having more than one tRNA (with a specific anti-codon) for a particular amino acid; and 'wobble' base-pairing, i.e. permitting non-standard base-pairing at the 3rd anti-codon position. The record is from RNAcentral. Lineage: Bacteria; Bacillati; Chloroflexota. RNAcentral also lists the same sequence under 1 other name.